AUCAGCAGGUUGCGGUGAAUACGUUCUCGCUCCUUGUACACACUGCCCGUCAAGCCAGCAAAGUCAGCAGCGCCCGAAGCGGGUGACCGUAACCAGUUUACUGGAGCGGCCCUUCUACGGUGAGGUUGGCGAUGAGGACUAAGUCGUAACAAGGUAUCCGUACUGGAAGGUGCGGAUGGAUCACCUCCUUUCUAAGGAG
This 199-nucleotide ribosomal RNA is filed under the name Candidatus Pacebacteria bacterium CG10_big_fil_rev_8_21_14_0_10_40_26. RNAcentral describes it as "partial 16S ribosomal RNA". It matches the Rfam family "Bacterial small subunit ribosomal RNA", at positions 1348 to 1533 of the family's 1533-position model. The record is from RNAcentral. Lineage: Bacteria; Bacillati; Minisyncoccota.